UACAGAGGUCCCAAGCGUUGUUCGGAUUCACUGGGCGUAAAGGGUGCGUAGGUGGCUGGGAAAGUUUGAUGUGAAAGCUCGGAGCUUAACUCCGAAAUGGCAUUGAAUACUUCCUAGCUUGAGGGUCGGAGGGGAGACUGGAAUUCUCGGUGUAGCAGUGAAAUGCGUAGAUAUCGAGAGGAACACCAGUGGCGAAGGCGGCAUCCUGGACUGGUACUGACGCUCAGGAGCGAAAGCGUGGGGAGCGAUCCGG
This 253-nucleotide ribosomal RNA is filed under the name uncultured bacterium. Its description in RNAcentral is "partial 16S ribosomal RNA". It matches the Rfam family "Bacterial small subunit ribosomal RNA", at positions 524 to 776 of the family's 1533-position model. The record is from RNAcentral.